This 497-nucleotide ribosomal RNA is filed under the name uncultured bacterium. RNAcentral describes it as "partial 16S ribosomal RNA". It matches the Rfam family "Bacterial small subunit ribosomal RNA", at positions 28 to 507 of the family's 1533-position model. The record is from RNAcentral.
GACGAACGCUGGCGGCGUGCCUAAUACAUGCAAGUUGAGCGCUGAAGGUUGGUACUUGUACCAACUGGAUGAGCAGCGAACGGGUGAGUAACGCGUGGGGAAUCUGCCUUUGAGCGGGGGACAACAUUUGGAAACGAAUGCUAAUACCGCAUAAAAACUUUAAACACAAGUUUUAAGUUUGAAAGAUGCAAUUGCAUCACUCAAAGAUGAUCCCGCGUUGUAUUAGCUAGUUGGUGAGGUAAAGGCUCACCAAGGCGAUGAUACAUAGCCGAACUGAGAGGGUGAUCGGCCACAUUGGGACUGAGACACGGCCCAAACUCCUACGGGAGGCAGUAGUAGGGAAUCUUCGGCAAUGGACGAAAGUCUGACCGAGCAACGCCGCGUGAGUGAAGAAGGUUUUCGGAUCGUAAAACUCUGUUGGUAGAGAAGAACGUUGGUGAGAGUGGAAAGCUCAUCAAGUGACGGUAACUACCCAGAAAGGGACGGCUAACUACGUG